AGUACUGCUUUGGGGUUCGACUAAGCCAUGCGAGUCUAUGGACUUCGGUCCAUGGCGGACGGCUCAGUAACACGUGGCUAACCUACCCUCGGGUGGGGGAUAACCUCGGGAAACUGAGGAUAAUACCCCAUAGGAGAAGAGGUCUGGAAUGAUCCUUCUCUGAAAACAUAUGUGCCCGAGGAUGGGGCUGCGUCUGAUUAGGUAGUUGGUGGGGUAACNGGCCCACCAAGCCUACGAUCAGUACGGGCCUUGAGAGAGGCAGCCCGGAGAUGGGGACUGAGACACGGCCCCAGGCCCUACGGGGCGCAGCAGGCGCGAAACCUCCGCAAUGCACGAAAGUGCGACGGGGGGACCCCAAGUGCUUACGCACUGCGUAGGCUUUUCUAAAGUGUAAAAAGCUUUAGGAAUAAGGGCUGGGCAAGUCCGGUGCCAGCAGCCGCAGUAACACCGGCGGCCCGAGUGGUGACCACUUUUAUUGGGCCUAAAGCGUCCGUAGUCGGUCCAGUAAGUCCCUGUUUAAAUCCUACGGCUUAACCGUAGGGCUGGCAGGGAUACUGCUGGACUUGGGACCGGGAGAGGGCGAGGGUACUUCAGGGGUAGCGGUGAAAUGUGUUGAUCCCUGGAGGCCACCUAUGGCGAAGGCACUCGCCUGGAACGGGUCCGACGGUGAGGGACGAAAGCCAGGGGCGCGAACCGGAUUAGAUACCCGGGUAGUCCUGGCCGUAAACUCUGCGGACUAGGUGUUAGGUAGGCCCCGUGCCUAUCUAGUGCCGAANGGAAGCCGUUAAGUCCGCCGCCUGGGGAGUACGGUCGCAAGACUGAAACUUAAAGGA
Molecule: ribosomal RNA, 833 nt
Filed under: uncultured Methanothermococcus sp.
Lineage: Archaea; Methanobacteriati; Methanobacteriota; Methanococci; Methanococcales; Methanococcaceae
Description: bacterial SSU rRNA
Rfam family: Archaeal small subunit ribosomal RNA
Source: RNAcentral